RNAcentral lists this unclassified non-coding RNA (253 nucleotides) under uncultured Planctomycetia bacterium. Its description in RNAcentral is "contains 16S-23S intergenic spacer region". It matches the Rfam family "Bacterial small subunit ribosomal RNA", at positions 524 to 776 of the family's 1533-position model. Lineage: Bacteria; Pseudomonadati; Planctomycetota; Planctomycetia. The record is from RNAcentral.
UACGAAGGGAGCUAGCGUUGUUCGGAAUCACUGGGCUUAAAGGGCGCGUAGGCGGCUUGCCAAGUCAGGGGUGAAAUCUUUCGGCUCAACCGGAAAAGUGCCUUUGAUACUGACAGGCUGGAGGGAGGUAGGGGCAUGUGGAACUUCCGGUGGAGCGGUGAAAUGCGUUGAUAUCGGAAGGAACGCCGGUGGCGAAAGCGACGUGCUGGACCUUUUCUGACGCUGAGGCGCGAAAGCUAGGGGAGCAAACGGG